CUGCUGCCUUCCGUAGGAGUCUGGUCCGUGUCUCAGUACCAGUGUGGGGGACCUUCCUCUCAGAACCCCUACGCAUCGUCGCCUUGGUGGGCCGUUACCCCGCCAACUAGCUAAUGCGACGCAUGACCAUCCGUAGCCGGAAUCGCUUCCUUUAAACCCGAGGACGAUGCCUCCUCGGGUUGUUACGCGGUAUUAGACGGAAUUUCUUCCGCUUAUCCCCCUGCUACCGGGCAGGUUUCAUACGUGUUACUCACCCGUGCGCCGGUCGCCGGCGG
This 275-nucleotide ribosomal RNA is filed under the name uncultured bacterium. Its description in RNAcentral is "partial 16S ribosomal RNA". The record is from RNAcentral.